CCUACGGGUGGCAGCAGUGGGGAAUAUUGGGCAAUGGACGCAAGUCUGACCCAGCAACGUCGCGUGAAGGAUGACGGCUUUAGGGUUGUUAAACUCUUUUAAGGGGGAAGUGAAGAAGACGGUACCUCUUGAAUAAGCCACGGCUAACUACGUGACAGCAGCCGCGGUAAUACGUAGGUGGCACGCGUUGUCCGGAUUUACUGGGUGUAAAGGGCGUGCAGCCGGAGAGACAAGUCAGAUGUGAAAUCCACGGGCUCAACCCGUGAACUGCAGUUGAAACUGGUUCCCUUGAGUGUCGGAGAGGUAAUCGGAAUUCGUGGUGUAGCGGUGAAAUGCGUAGAUAUAAGGAAGAACACCAGUGGCGAAGGCGGAUUACUGGACGAUAACUGACGGUGAGGCGCGAAAGCGUGGGGAGCAAACAGGAUUAGAUACCCCUGUAGUC
RNAcentral lists this ribosomal RNA (442 nucleotides) under uncultured bacterium. RNAcentral's name for it is "partial 16S ribosomal RNA". It matches the Rfam family "Bacterial small subunit ribosomal RNA", at positions 338 to 795 of the family's 1533-position model. The record is from RNAcentral.